GAUGGACGCUAGCUACAGGCUUAACACAUGCAAGUCGAGGGGUAACGAGAGGAAAGCUUGCUUUCCUUGUCGACGACCGGCGCACGGGUGAGUAACGCGUAUCCAACCUGCCCCCAACUAAGGAAUAACCUUGCGAAAGUAAGACUAAUACCCUAUAAUUUCCUCAGAUGUCAUCUGACGAGGAAUAAAGAUUUAUCGGUUGUGGAUGGGGAUGCGUCUGAUUAGCUGGUGGGCGGGGUAACGGCCCACCAAGGCAACGAUCAGUAGGGGUUCUGAGAGGAAGGUCCCCCACAUUGGAACUGAGACACGGUCCAAACUCCUACGGGAGGCAGCAGUGAGGAAUAUUGGUCAAUGGGCGGAAGCCUGAACCAGCCAAGUAGCGUGCAGGAUGACGGCCCUAUGGGUUGUAAACUGCUUUUAUACAGGAAUAAAGUUAGCCACGUGUGGUUAUUUGUAGGUACUGUAUGAAUAAGGACCGGCUAAUUCCGUGCCAGCCGCCGCCGUAA
Molecule: ribosomal RNA, 506 nt
Filed under: uncultured bacterium
Lineage: Bacteria
Description: partial 16S ribosomal RNA
Rfam family: Bacterial small subunit ribosomal RNA
Source: RNAcentral